CAUACUAUGCAUGCUAUAUGAAUUUGAGACUGCAUUCUGCUGCAGAGAGUCAGUAGUUCCAUGGAAUAGUUUUCUAAUUAUUUUCAUUCAUCUUUGCUUGGAAAAACUUAGCUCAAAUCAGGCAGCAAGGUGAAUAACAUCCUGUCUGGAGUUCUUAUUGGUCAUGUAUUGGAAAAAAGAAGAAAGGCGUUUCCUUAAGGUUCAACUCUAUGGCUAGGGCAAAUAAUUGGAGUAAGUCUUUUACAGAUGUUAGCUUUUGUCUGUUAAACAGAUGUGGCUAAAUUGAAGUGCAAUAGAAUAUUAUCUAUUUUAUUCUGUUGAUGAAGGAAUGGUAAGAGAAGAAUCCAAGCAAACCUGAAGAAGUCUUCUUUAGUGUAUGUGUUGUUUGAUCAGGGCCUGAUCAAACUAUUUGCCCAUUAUUUUUUUAUGUCAGAAAAUAGGAACACCUUUUACUAUAUUGCUACUUAUCUUUAUGUCAUUCAGCAUAAAAGGGCUUGCAUUUUGUAAGCAGCUCAAUAUGCUGGAGAUUUAUCUGGUAACAUCUGGCAGUAUUAAUUAGUUCAGCAGAUAGACUUGGUAUAUUGUAGAGUUAAUGUAUUACUGUAACACCUGAAUCCCACCUGAAGUUGAGAUUCUGAUUUGAUACACAUUUGAUAUAUUAAGAUAUGUUAUUGUUUGCUGUGUUUACACAUUUAUUACAGAGUAAGAAAAAUGCUGGAAGGAUAGAAUAGAUAUAGGCUAACAAAAUGAUUUUACCUGGAUUACUUUGUGGCUUUGCAGUUUACUGUGACCCUAGUGGCUAAUGCAUCAUAGGAGUCUCCAUCUUGGACCUUCAACACCAUGAAGUAUUGUUUUCCAAUUUCAUUGUUUCGUAUCAGUUAACUGAAAAAUAACUUCUACCAGGACAAAUUAUCCAUUGAUUAAAACAUUUUCACUGACUUCAGUAGCAUAAAAGCAGAAUCACUUGAGAGCAAAAUUUUGAAUGACUUUGUAUUCACAUUCUUUGUUUUGCUUGUAAUGAAACUGUUGCUUGAAAUGAUCAGAACAUUUGAAAGUGAGCAAUGGGUCCAGUUCAAACAUAGUUGGUUCAAAUAUACAGCAACAAAAAUUGCGAAUACUGCAAAUAUAGAAAACUAAGUUGUCUUCUUUUCUGUGCUAGCUGAGAUCAGACUUCUCAACUGUGGUGUUCUGCAGCAGAUCAUAGUAUUAGUAGUAUCUGUGGCAGCUUAAAAAUUUCAGGUUCUUGCUCUCUCCUUGUUGUAUGUCAGCAAUGGUUGCAAGGUGAAUCAAGAACACUGGAGUUCUCCCCUGAGUAGACUUUUUCAAGAAAUAGUUUUUUAAAAAAAACAAACCUCCAAAACAUUAAUAUUUAAAGUACUCCAUGUUAGUGAGGAGCUUUUCAGCUUUCUUUGCCUGUUUGCCAUCUGGUUUUCUUCUAAUAUGAUUGUUUUUUCAUGAAUGAGAUUGGUAGCAGUAGAAGCUCUUACAGGUGAUAGGAAGAUCUUGUGUGCUGACCUAGUAUGUGUAUUUCCAUGAUAGAAAAUCACACUUCUUGAUAGCCCUCCAACAUGUAGUAUCCUACUUUCAGUCUGAUAUACCAGGCAAUUAGAGUUGUAUUUCCACAACCCCUGAGAAAAUAGGAUAUGUAGUAAAAGAGACUUUAAAAAAAGAGAGAAGUAAAAAGUAUAAGUAACCCUUCUCCCCAUGAGUGCCCACGCUAGAGGGAGUAGUGUGAGUUUUCUACAAAUACAUGGAGAGAUGAGUAGUGAAUCUUCUAAUUUGGACAGAAUCUGCAGUUAUGCUUGGUAUGUUAUUAGAAACCCAUAUUUUUGAUAUAACAUACACUUUGAGAUUUUGGUGUAGUAGCUUGAGUUUCCAUAUGUAGUUUUAACAAGAUGCAAAUCAAGUAGAAAUUAUACGUUAUUGGUUCUAGGUCUCUCUCUUUUUUUUUUCUUUUCCAUGGUUUAUUGCUUGUAGGCUUGAAAUCAAAGUAGGUGAAUACAUGUGAUGAUUACUGUUAUUUUCAAAAGUUCAGUGGAAAGUAGCUGAAGAUAUUCAGAACACUAGGGAAUGGGUGACUCUGGACUUCUGCAAUUAGUUUAAACAUGUAAGCAAAAUGGUUACAUGUCAUUGUUAGCUUAGCAUUGAUUCUAGGUAAAAUAAAAGAGUUUUGUUUGUCUUUUAAUUUUGUAUGGCUGUCUGUGAUGCAGGCCAUUGGAAACAGUUUUAUUGAAAAAUCAGUACUGUCAAACAAAUAUACAGUCAUUUUUCUGGAGACUGUAAACUAGGUUGAUUUAUUAAAUUAUAAACAGAUUCAGGAUAGUAUUUUUACAGUGAGUAGCACAAUCAGACUUAGCCCAUGUAAUGGUAAAGCUAGUAGUAGUAUGACAGGCACAGCUUGGAUGGUCUAAUAUACUUACAAAAGGUGCCUGGAUUGCUACUCUCUUGCAGCAGUUUAAGAGAUGAAUAGCACUGUAUAAAAUCAAUAUAAGUUCUAUUACAUAUAUUAAACUUGUUAAAUGUAAGGUUAUAAAAAAAAAAAACCUGUUACUAGAAGUUGGUCAUCCUAUUGGGAAUAUUUCUAGUUCAUUUUGUGGGUCUGUUUUUGAUUCAGUGCUGUCAAAAUCUGUAGGCUCUGAAAGUGAUGCCUUCUAUUUAUUUGCUACAGCAGAUACAAGAACAUAAUAACACUGAUAGAGCAAACUCUCAGCUACAAAAUACUGUUUUUCAGUAUAGUCAGCACCAUUAGCUGUGCAUUUUUGCCAGCAGUGAACAAGCGCACACAUGCUGUGCUCAUCAAAAUCUGUACCAGCAGAGGUGACUCACUGUUUCACAGCUGCUCUGACAGUUCCAUUGUUAGAAAAAUGUUGCCUGUGCAGUCCAUAUUUCAUCAGCCCAAACAGAUGGAAGUCAGAAGGCAUCAAGUCUGGACUGUGAUGUGGGUGUGGUAGAACAGCCCAGUAAAAACUGGCAGUAUGUUCCAUGAUAUUCAAACUGGUAUAGGGCCUGCAUUACUGUAUUGCAAGAGAAAGGAUGUCUUCUCUGGCCUGACUCUGGAAGUUGGGGCUUUCAGCUUAGUCAGUGUUGUGAUGCAGCGUUCAGAGCUGGUGGUUUGUCCAGGUUCCAGUCUGGAAGCACCAUCCCUUUCCUGUCCCAAAGGCAGUGAACACCACUUUACCCACUGAGGACUGCAUCCUGAACUUUUUCUUUGUUGGGGAAUUCACACAUCUCCACUCCACGGGCUGCUGUUUUGAUUCUAGCUCAUGGUGGUGACACCACAUCUCAUCACUGGUAGUAAUGUGAUCCAGGAAACUGUCACCUUCAGAUUCAUAUUGGUUCUGCAGAUCCUGACAAACUUACAAACAGUGUUCAUUCUUUUCCUGUCUGAGCAUUUGUUGGCCUAGUGCAAACUUUGUGAUAUUUCAAUGUUGCCAUCGUUAUUUACCGUGCAUUGAAGCCAAUAUUCACCUCUGUACACAGUCCUGUUUGUAAUCUCCAGAUUUAAAUGGAUGGGUUGAUCCAGAUGCUUUUCAUUUUGUGAUGUGACAUUUGUGCGUGGCCAUUUGAAAUGUGGCUUGUCUUCCACAUCCCUUUUGCCACAGCUUAAACAUAUGACCCACUGCCUCACUCACACUCACUGUUUCCCCGUAAGUGUUCAGCAAGUGUCUAUGAAUGUCAGCGGGUACCUUUUGUUUUUUUUUUUUUCCUGCAUGGAGGAAUUCAGUGACAUACUUUUGCUUUAUCUGUACUUCCAUGUCAGAUGCUAUUAUGUCAUACUGCCCUUCUGCUGCCACCUGUUGCAUGGCAACAACAUGUAAUGGAAUAUUAGUGAGAAGACUAUCUCUUCUGCUGGUACCAUCAACAUCCACCUCUGGCAUUGUGGGCCAACAUAAUAAAAUAGGAGGCAUAACUUUUGGAGCACUUCUAUUUGUCAGUGGUCUGGAAAUAAGUACAAAAUCAGUGCUGAUAGCUGUCUUUUGUGUAUGAGGUGUAGAAUUAUGUCAUAGGAAGCAACGAUGCUGAAAAAUGUUCUGGUUGCUCUGGCAGAAUUUGAUGCGUGUUCCUGUAUACAGUGCUUGAAACUAUGAAAUGGAAUGUAGUGCAUGCACCCAGGAGCAAGAAUAAAUUGGAUGAAAUGUUCUAUCACAUUACAUAAUAAUACUUGCAGUUAACAACAAUGUUGAGAAAUAUUUAAAAGAGUCCAAGAUUCUGAGGAGAGCUGUGAAGCUAGAGAAGGAAACAAUGGUUUUGCUUCUUGGUGAAUAGGAAAGUGGAUUGUGAAUUUGUGAUAAAUGCAUGGACAGCCCUUCUGUAUGUGGUGUAUGGUUAGAAGUGAUCACAAAAUCAGAUUUAAUCUAAACUAAAGUGUUCCAAUUAAAAGCUUUUUUUAAAAAAAGAACUUUCAAAAGCAUGCAUGCACUUUAAAAACAAACAAACAAACAAAAAAAUGACCAACAACACAAAAUGCAUAAAUAAAUACAUAAAAUGUUGAAAUCGGCUUUUCACUGGAAAAUGUACACCCACAAUUUCACUGUACACUCACAAUUUUGAGGAUCUAGAAAACGUGCAUAUAAAUAUGGAUUAUAAAUUAGAAAUAAAUUGAACUGCACAUAUGGUUGUACAUAUAUAUAUAUGAUCUGUGUAAUCUGAACAUGUGCUGCAAAUGAACAAUCUUGAAAUGAGGACCAUGAACUUAGAGCAAGUCAGGACAGAAUUUUCAAGGUAAUGAUUAUUACAGUCUGUGAAGAAACAAAAAGUGGAUCCUUUUUGAGGUGAUGAGGUUUACCUUGAUGAGUAAGUCAAAAACAUUUCUAAAUUAAAUGUGUCAUUUUGCUCAUAAA
This is a long non-coding RNA of Tympanuchus pallidicinctus (lesser prairie-chicken), 4841 nucleotides long. RefSeq lists it as uncharacterized. The transcript is spliced from 2 exons. The record is from RefSeq and is a predicted model, not a curated record. NCBI's taxonomy places the organism in Eukaryota, Metazoa, Chordata, Aves, Galliformes, Phasianidae.